This 81-nucleotide transfer RNA is filed under the name Enterococcus faecium. Its description in RNAcentral is "tRNA-Tyr". It matches the Rfam family "tRNA". From Rfam's summary of the family: Transfer RNA (tRNA) molecules are approximately 80 nucleotides in length. Their secondary structure includes four short double-helical elements and three loops (D, anti-codon, and T loops). Further hydrogen bonds mediate the characteristic L-shaped molecular structure. tRNAs have two regions of fundamental functional importance: the anti-codon, which is responsible for specific mRNA codon recognition, and the 3' end, to which the tRNAs corresponding amino acid is attached (by aminoacyl-tRNA synthetases). tRNAs cope with the degeneracy of the genetic code in two manners: having more than one tRNA (with a specific anti-codon) for a particular amino acid; and 'wobble' base-pairing, i.e. permitting non-standard base-pairing at the 3rd anti-codon position. The record is from RNAcentral. Lineage: Bacteria; Bacillati; Bacillota; Bacilli; Lactobacillales; Enterococcaceae.
GGAGGAGGAGCGAAGUGGCUAAACGCGACGGACUGUAAAUCCGUUCCUUAGGGUUCAGUGGUUCGAAUCCACUCUCCUCCA